CCUACGGGAGGCAGCAGUGAGGAAUAUUGGUCAAUGGGCGCGAGCCUGAACCAGCCAAGUCGCGUGAGGGAAGACGGUCCUAUGGAUUGUAAACCUCUUUUGUCGGGGAGCAAAAGACGCCACGCGUGGCGUUCCGAGAGUACCCGAAGAAAAAGCAUCGGCAAACUCCGCGCCAGCAGCCGCGGUAAUACGGAGGUUGCGAGCGUUAUCCGGAUUUAUUGGGGUUAAGGGGUGCGCAGGCGGAAGAUCAAGUCAGCGGUAAAAUUGAGGGGCUCAACCUCGACGAGCCGUUGAAACUGGUUUGCUUGAGUGAGCGAGAGGUAGGCGGAAUGCGUGGUGUAGCGGUGAAAUGCAUAGAUAUCACGCAGAACUCCGAUUGCGAAGGCAGCAUACCGGCGCUCAACUGACGCUCAUGCGCGAAAGUGUGGGUAUCAAACAGGAUUAGAUACCCUUGUAGUC
RNAcentral lists this ribosomal RNA (459 nucleotides) under uncultured bacterium. Its description in RNAcentral is "partial 16S ribosomal RNA". It matches the Rfam family "Bacterial small subunit ribosomal RNA", at positions 338 to 795 of the family's 1533-position model. The record is from RNAcentral.